CACCGGUCACCAUCUCAUCUCUCAUUUUUCCCUUUCUCUCCUCCCAAUUUUUUCCCCUCCCAUUCUCUCCAUUGUCAAGAACAACCGACCCCCCAUUCUUCUCUCCCCCAGCUUCUCUCUGUUUCGGGAGCCCCAUUUUUCUUACUUUUUCUCCAGCCUUUCUCUACCCAAAGAAACCAACGGCACACCCGGGCUGUUUCCCAUCUCUUCUAUUUCUUUUCGAUUUUAUUUUCUCCUACGGCUAGUCUCAACGCCCACAUCCCCACCCGACUCCAUCAUUACUGCCGGUGGCGUGACGCUGACGCCUCUCCAUCUCCAUUUACUCCAUUUUUCUUCAUCAUUUUUAUUUAUUUAUUUAUCUUCUUUCUUUUUUAUUUAAUUUUUUUUCCCAAAAACCCAUCAACUCUCACUGUCAGUAGAUCACCGGCCAGUCGC
RNAcentral lists this long non-coding RNA (435 nucleotides) under Vitis vinifera (wine grape). RNAcentral describes it as "long non-coding RNA (VVIN_LNC000159)". The record is from RNAcentral. Lineage: Eukaryota; Viridiplantae; Streptophyta; Magnoliopsida; Vitales; Vitaceae.